UACGUAGGGGGCAAGCGUUAUCCGGAAUUACUGGGUGUAAAGGGUGAGUAGGCGGCAUGAUAAGUAAGAUGUGAAAGCCCGCAGCUUAACUGCGGGAUUGCAUUUUAAACUAUUGAGCUAGAGUACAGGAGAGGAAAGCGGAAUUCCCAGUGUAGCGGUGAAAUGCGUAGAUAUUGGGAAGAACACCAGUGGCGAAGGCGGCUUUCUGGACUGAAACUGACGCUGAGGCACGAAAGCGUGGGGAGCGAACAGGAUUAGAUACCCGGGUAGUCCACGCCGUAAACGAUGAGUGCUAGGUGUCGGAGGGGAACCUUCGGUGCCGCAGCAAACGCAAUAAGAACUCCACCGGGGGAGUACGCCGGCAACGGUGAA
RNAcentral lists this ribosomal RNA (372 nucleotides) under uncultured bacterium. RNAcentral describes it as "bacterial SSU rRNA". It matches the Rfam family "Bacterial small subunit ribosomal RNA", at positions 524 to 898 of the family's 1533-position model. The record is from RNAcentral.